UGAUACAGAGGGACAGCUUAACUAUUAAAUAUCCAUCACGCCACGCCACAUCAGUCCUAAUGCAAUCAGAAACACAUGACUACAUCGCUCGGGCCCCCGCUUCCAUCCACAAUGAUUAAGAGAAGUUUCUGCUUCAUAAUGCAGUCCACCAGUUCCAAGCAGAGCUGAUAGUCACCAUCCAUCAGUAUGACAACACAGGGAUCAUGCAGUUAAAUGACAGUGCUUGACACACAGGAAUUGAUGGAAGAGAGAAGGGAGCAGAAAAG
This is a long non-coding RNA of Danio aesculapii, 266 nucleotides long. RefSeq lists it as uncharacterized. NCBI's taxonomy places the organism in Eukaryota, Metazoa, Chordata, Actinopteri, Cypriniformes, Danionidae. The transcript is spliced from 3 exons. The record is from RefSeq and is a predicted model, not a curated record.